Anguilla rostrata (American eel) is the source of this 1133-nucleotide long non-coding RNA. RefSeq lists it as uncharacterized. The record is from RefSeq and is a predicted model, not a curated record. The transcript has 2 exons. Lineage: Eukaryota; Metazoa; Chordata; Actinopteri; Anguilliformes; Anguillidae.
UAAACACAGAGAAGGCGGAACUGCUGCAGAAGCUUCUGGAUAUGAAUGAGUGAAGAAACAAACAGAUGGGAGGAAGACACGUAGUUGGGAGGAAGACAUGUGGCCGUGUGUUCUUCUGCUUUUAUUUUAUUGUACAUGUUGCAUGGUCAAAAUUAUGUUUGAGCAAAUGUGAACAAUUGAGUUUAUUUACCAAAGAAUCCCCUUUUGCCCUGUACCAUGAAACAGACAUACGGACAACCUGUUAUCUCCAUAGAAAUUACUGAGGAGACCAUCCCAGGCUCAACAGAACAACAGAUGAGGUGUUCAAAUAAGUAAUCACAAUUUAAACCAGAAAAUAACUGUAUGACAAGGGGGCAACUAUGAUAGUAUGCCUGACUGGUAAAAAUGAUCAGAUGCUUUUAUUGUUUUAUAUUUGACUUGUCUUGAGAUGGUUCUUAUUUACUAACUGGUGUGCGUCAUCAUGUACAUAUAUAUCCAUGAGUAAAAGUUUGUAUUUAGUGUGUAGUGUAGAUUUGGAUUUGUGAAAUACAUGAAACCAUGUACUCCACUUCAAUAAAACAGGACAAAUAAUGUAAAGUACCGAUCUUUCUGAAACUGUACAUGGGAGGAAUUAGUGCUGGGUACUGGGAAGUACUUUACUAUUUCCAGUCUCUUGAGUACUGCCAGCCUUCAUUGCAGGUAGAUAAACUUUGUUUACUUUGUUUGAAAUGCAGCUCUCCUCCAUUUACUGCUUCUAAAGACAGUUCAGAUUAAAACUAUCAGGGCAGACGAGACAAGAUGAUUUUUUUUUUAAAUCAUAGAAAGAAUCGGAAGUUAAAUCAAAUUACUGUCUCCCUAGCAACCAGUUUGUUGAGUCUAAUUUUAAGGUGCAGAAGUUCACUGUUACAGUGUUAUUACACAUUAAAUAAUCUUCAGAUUUAACUAUAGUCUACAAUGUGUCUGGUAGUCGAAUGUUACUGCACGGGACAACCUACUCUAACCAAGCGAGGAGGAAUGGUUUACAUAUGAUGUGUCUUACGGAUAUGAAUAUUGAUGAGCGUAAGAUACACGCCCACCCUGUCCUUGUCUGCUGAACAGGCCACAAUAAUCUAGUAGUGUUAAUUACAAUUUAAUGGUUAUAACUGGAUUAAAAA